This 429-nucleotide ribosomal RNA is filed under the name uncultured archaeon. Its description in RNAcentral is "bacterial SSU rRNA". It matches the Rfam family "Archaeal small subunit ribosomal RNA", at positions 474 to 903 of the family's 1478-position model. The record is from RNAcentral.
UACCAGCUCUCCGAGUGGUGUGGAUGUUUAUUGGGCCUAAAGCAUCCGUAGCUGGCUGGGCAAGUCCCCUGUUAAAUCCACCGAUUUAAUCAUUGGUGUGCGGGGGAUACUGUUCGGCUAGGGGACGGGAGAGGCCGACGGUAUUUUCGGGGUAGGGGUGAAAUCCUAUAAUCCCGGGAAGACCACCAGUGGCGAAGGCUGUCGGCUAGAACGCGCCCGACGGUGAGGGAUGAAAGCUGGGGGAGCGAACCGGAUUAGAUACCCGGGUAGUCCCAGCUGUAAACGAUGCAGGCUAGGUGUUUGGGCGGCCAAGUGCCGCUCUAGUGCCGCAGAGAAGUCGUUAAGCCUGCCGCCUGGGGAGUACGGCCGCAAGGCUGAAACUUAAAGGAAUUGGCGGGGGAGCACCACAAGGGGUGAAGCUUGCGGUUU